GACAAACGCUGGCGGCGUGCUUAACACAUGCAAGUCGAACGGAAAGGCCCUGCUUUUGUGGGGUGCUCGAGUGGCGAACGGGUGAGUAACACGUGAGUAACCUGCCCUUGACUUUGGGAUAACUUCAGGAAACUGGGGCUAAUACCGGAUAGGAGCUCCUGCUGCAUGGUGGGGGUUGGAAAGUUUCGGCGGUUGGGGAUGGACUCGCGGCUUAUCAGCUUGUUGGUGGGGUAGUGGCUUACCAAGGCUUUGACGGGUAGCCGGCCUGAGAGGGUGACCGGCCACAUUGGGACUGGGAUACGGCCCAGACUCCUACGGGAGGCAGCAGUGGGGAAUAUUGCACAAUGGGCGGAAGCCUGAUGCAGCAACGCCGCGUGCGGGAUGACGGCCUUCGGGUUGUAAACCGCUUUCGCCUGUGACGAAGCGUGAGUGACGGUAAUGGGUAAAGAAGCACCGGCUAACUACGUG
Molecule: ribosomal RNA, 468 nt
Filed under: uncultured bacterium
Lineage: Bacteria
Description: partial 16S ribosomal RNA
Rfam family: Bacterial small subunit ribosomal RNA
Source: RNAcentral